This is a non-coding RNA of Acanthosepion pharaonis, 114 nucleotides long. The record is from the annotation of a GenBank genome assembly. Lineage: Eukaryota; Metazoa; Mollusca; Cephalopoda; Sepiida; Sepiidae.
UUACGGCCAUAUAUCGUUGAAACACCGGUUCCCGUACAACCCCCGAAGUUAAGCCAUGUCGAGCCUGGCCAGUACCUAGAUGGGUCAAUACUUGACAGUAGCUGGUGCUGCAAG